RNAcentral lists this ribosomal RNA (279 nucleotides) under uncultured bacterium. RNAcentral describes it as "partial 16S ribosomal RNA". It matches the Rfam family "Bacterial small subunit ribosomal RNA", at positions 506 to 784 of the family's 1533-position model. The record is from RNAcentral.
UGCCAGCAGCCGCGGUAACACAGAGGGCGCGAACGUUGCUCGGAAUUACUGGGCGUAAAGCGCGUGUAGGCGGACCUGCAAGUCGGGCGUGAAAUCCCUGGGCUCAACCCAGGAACUGCGUUCGAAACUGCAGGUCUUGAGUAUCGGAGAGGGUAGCGGAAUUCCCGGUGUAGAGGUGAAAUUCGUAGAUAUCGGGAGGAACACCAGUGGCGAAGGCGGCUACCUGGACGAUAACUGACGCUGAGACGCGAAAGCGUGGGGAGCAAACAGGAUUAGAUA